RNAcentral lists this ribosomal RNA (460 nucleotides) under uncultured bacterium. RNAcentral's name for it is "partial 16S ribosomal RNA". It matches the Rfam family "Bacterial small subunit ribosomal RNA", at positions 338 to 795 of the family's 1533-position model. The record is from RNAcentral.
UCUACGGGUGGCAGCAGUGAGGAAUAUUGGUCAAUGGACGCAAGUCUGAACCAGCCAUGCCGCGUGCAGGAUGACGGCUCUAUGAGUUGUAAACUGCUUUUGUACAAGGGUAAACCUGAAUACGUGUAUUCAGCUGAAAGUAUUGUACGAAUAAGGAUCGGCUAACUCUGUGCCAGCAGCCGCGGUAAUACGGAGGAUCCAAGCGUUAUCCGGAUGGAUUGGGGGUAAAGGGUGCGUAGGCGGUUUGAUAAGUUAGAGGUGAAAUGUCGGGGAUUAAACCCGAAAAUUCCUCUAAUAUUGUUGAACGAGAGAAUAGUUGAGGUAGGCGGAAUGUAUGGAGUAGCGGGGAAAUGCGUAGAGAUUAUAUAGAAAAGCGAGUGCGAAGGCAGAUUACGAAACUAGAUCUGACGUUGAGGCAAGAAAGCGUGGGUAGCAAACAGGAGUAGAGACCCGAGUAGUC